GAUUAACGCUGGCGGCGUGCAUAACACAUGCAAGUCGAACGAUGAAACUUAACUGAUUUCUUCGGAAUGAUUUUAAGUGGAUUAGUGGCGGACGGGUGAGUAACGCGUGAGUAACCUGCCUUGGAGAAGGGGAUAGCCUUUGGAAACGAAGAAUAAUACCCUACGAUAUGAUAAUAUCUCAUGAUAUUAUCAUCAAAGAUUUAUCGCUCUAAGAUGGACUUGCGUCUGAUUAGUUAGUUGGUGAGGUAACAGCUCACCAAGGCAGCGAUCAGUAGCCGGCUUGAGAGAGUGUACGGCCACAUUGGGACUGAGACACGGCCCAGACUCCUACGGGAGGCAGCAGUGGGGAAUUUUGCACAAUGGGGGAAACCCUGAUGCAGCGACGCCGCGUGAUUUAGAAGGCCUUCGGGUUGUAAAAAUCUUUUGUAUGGGAAGAAAAUGACAGUACCAUACGAAUAAGGACCGGCUAAUUACGUG
Molecule: ribosomal RNA, 477 nt
Filed under: uncultured bacterium
Lineage: Bacteria
Description: partial 16S ribosomal RNA
Rfam family: Bacterial small subunit ribosomal RNA
Source: RNAcentral